GAGUGGCGAACUGGUGAGUAACACGUGGGAAACCUGCCCAGAAGCGGGGGAUAACACCUGGAAACAGAUGCUAAUACCGCAUAACAACUUGGACCGCAUGGUCCGAGUUUGAAAGAUGGCUUCGGCUAUCACUUUUGGAUGGUCCCGCGGCGUAUUAGCUAGAUGGUGGGGUAACGGCUCACCAUGGCAAUGAUACGUAGCCGACCUGAGAGGGUAAUCGGCCACAUUGGGACUGAGACACGGCCCAAACUCCUACGGGAGGCAGCAGUAGGGAAUCUUCCACAAUGGACGAAAGUCUGAUGGAGCAACGCCGCGUGAGUGAAGAAGGGUUUCGGCUCGUAAAACUCUGUUGUUAAAGAAGAACAUAUCUGAGAGUAACUGUUCAGGUAUUGACGGUAUUUAACCAGAAAGCCACGGCUAACUACGUGCCAGCAGCCGCGGUAAUACGUAGGUGGCAAGCGUUGUCCGGAUUUAUUGGGCGUAAAGCGAGCGCAGGCGGUUUUUUAAGUCUGAUGUGAAAGCCUUCGGCUCAACCGAAGAAGUGCAUCGGAAACUGGGAAACUUGAGUGCAGAAGAGGACAGUGGAACUCCAUGUGUAGCGGUGAAAUGCGUAGAUAUAUGGAAGAACACCAGUGGCGAAGGCGGCUGUCUGGUCUGUAACUGACGCUGAGGCUCGAAAGUAUGGGUAGCAAACAGGAUUAGAUACCCUGGUAGUCCAUACCGUAAACGAUGAAUGCUAAGUGUUGGAGGGUUUCCGCCCUUCAGUGCUGCAGCUAACGCAUUAAGCAUUCCGCCUGGGGAGUACGGCCGCAAGGCUGAAACUCAAAGGAAUUGACGGGGGCCCGCACAAGCGGUGGAGCAUGUGGUUUAAUUCGAAGCUACGCGAAGAACCUUACCAGGUCUUGACAUACUAUGCAAAUCUAAGAGAUUAGACGUUCCCUUCGGGGACAUGGAUACAGGUGGUGCAUGGUUGUCGUCAGCUCGUGUCGUGAGAUGUUGGGUUAAGUCCCGCAACGAGCGCAACCCUUAUUAUCAGUUGCCAGCAUUAAGUUGGGCACUCUGGUGAGACUGCCGGUGACAAACCGGAGGAAGGUGGGGAUGACGUCAAAUCAUCAUGCCCCUUAUGACCUGGGCUACACACGUGCUACAAUGGAUGGUACAACGAGUUGCGAACUCGCGAGAGUAAGCUAAUCUCUUAAAGCCAUUCUCAGUUCGGAUUGUAGGCUGCAACUCGCCUACAUGAAGUCGGAAUCGCUAGUAAUCGCGGAUCAGCAUGCCGCGGUGAAUACGUUCCCGGGCCUUGUACACACCGCCCGUCACACCAUGAGAGUUUGUAACACCCAAAGUCGGUGGGGUAACCUUUUAGGA
RNAcentral lists this ribosomal RNA (1368 nucleotides) under Lactiplantibacillus plantarum. Its description in RNAcentral is "Lactobacillus plantarum 16S ribosomal RNA". It matches the Rfam family "Bacterial small subunit ribosomal RNA", at positions 93 to 1447 of the family's 1533-position model. Lineage: Bacteria; Bacillati; Bacillota; Bacilli; Lactobacillales; Lactobacillaceae. The record is from RNAcentral.